CCUACGGGUGGCAGCAGUGGGGAAUAUUGGACAAUGGGGGGAACCCUGAUCCAGCGACGCCGCGUGAGUGAAGAAGUAUUUCGGUAUGUAAAGCUCUAUCAGCAGGGAAGAAAAUGACGGUACCUGACUAAGAAGCCCCGGCUAACUACGUGCCAGCAGCCGCGGGUACACGUAGGGGGCAAGCGUUAUCCGGGUGUACUGGGUGUAAAGGGAGCGUAGACGGUGUAGCAAGUUUGAUGGGAAAGGUAGGGGCCCAACCCCGGGAAUGCAUUGGAAACUGUUGAACUGGAGUACAGGAGAGGUAAGCGGAAUGCCUAGUGUAGCGGUGAAAUGCGUAGAUAUUAGGCGGAACACCAGUGGCGAAGGCGGCUUACUGGACUGUAACUGACGUUGAGGCUCGAAAGCGUGGGGAGCAAACAGGAUUAGAUACCCUAGUAGUC
Molecule: ribosomal RNA, 440 nt
Filed under: uncultured bacterium
Lineage: Bacteria
Description: partial 16S ribosomal RNA
Rfam family: Bacterial small subunit ribosomal RNA
Source: RNAcentral